CUGUGUGUAUUCAGCUGUGCCAGAACCAACAGAACACAAUGUCUCUUAUUCUGAUAAUGGGAACACUGGGUCUGCUUGCUCAAGGGUCCUAUCAGGAAGUCCAGUCUCCUGAAUUUCUGUCAGUUAAAGAAUCAGAAUCUGUCUCUAUUAGCUGUACUGGGACCAGUGGAGUUGAUGAUGACAUGAGCUGGUAUCUUCAGAAACCUGGAGAAGCUCCUAAACUCCUGAUCUACAAAGCAAAUCGACGUGAAUCUGGAAUCUCAGAUCGGUUCAGUGGAAGUCAAUCUGGACUCCUUUUCACACUGACCAUACGUGAAGCCAAACCUGAAGAUGCAGGAGAUUAUUACUGUAUGGGGGCUUAUAGAGACAGGUGCACACAGUGAAAUUCUAUCAUACAAAAACCUCCCUUAGUCAGAGAGCAAAGAGAGAAGCUCACCACCAUAUCAGUCUGUUGAGACAGAUCACCUGUUUGUCUUGUGGAU
This is a non-coding RNA of Triplophysa rosa, 482 nucleotides long. NCBI's taxonomy places the organism in Eukaryota, Metazoa, Chordata, Actinopteri, Cypriniformes, Nemacheilidae. The record is from the annotation of a RefSeq genome assembly.